Molecule: ribosomal RNA, 467 nt
Filed under: uncultured bacterium
Lineage: Bacteria
Description: partial 16S ribosomal RNA
Rfam family: Bacterial small subunit ribosomal RNA
Source: RNAcentral
GACGAACGCUGGCGGCGUGCUUAACACAUGCAAGUCGAACGGAAAGGCUCCAGCUUGCUGGAGUACUCGAGUGGCGAACGGGUGAGUAACACGUGGGUAAUCUGCCCUGCACUCUGGGAUAAGCCUGGGAAACUGGGUCUAAUACUGGAUAUGACCUUUCUCCUUAUGUGGUUUGGUGGAAAGUUUUUCGGUGUAGGAUGAGCCCGCGGCCUAUCAGCUUGUUGGUGGGGUGAUGGCCUACCAAGGCGACGACGGGUAGCCGGCCUGAGAGGGUGAUCGGCCACAUUGGGACUGAGAUACGGCCCAGACUCCUACGGGAGGCAGCAGUGGGGAAUAUUGCACAAUGGGCGGAAGCCUGAUGCAGCGACGCCGCGUGAGGGAUGACGGCCUUCGGGUUGUAAACCUCUUUCAGCAGGGACGAAGCGUAAGUGACGGUACCUGCAGAAGAAGCACCGGCUAACUAUGUG